GACGAACGCUGGCGGCGUGCUUAACACAUGCAAGUCGAACGGAAAGGCCCUGCUUUUGUGGGGUGCUCGAGUGGCGAACGGGUGAGUGACACGUGAGUAACCUGCCCUUGACUUUGGGAUAACUUCAGGAAACUGGGGCUAAUACCGGAUAGGAGCUCCUGCUGCAUGGUGGGGGUUGGAAAGUUUCGGCGGUUGGGGAUGGACUCGCGGCUUAUCAGCUUGUUGGUGGGGUAGUGGCUUACCAAGGCUUUGACGGGUAGCCGGCAUGAGAGGGUGACCGGCCACAUUGGGACUGAGAUACGGCCCAGACUCCUACGGGAGGCAGCAGUGGGGAAUAUAGCACAAUGGGCGGAAGCCUGAUGAAGCAACGCCGCGUGCGGGAUGACGGCCUUCGGGUUGUAAACCGCUUUCGCCUGUGACGAAGCGUGAGUGACGGUAAUGGGUAAAGAAGCACCGGCUAACUACGUG
RNAcentral lists this ribosomal RNA (468 nucleotides) under uncultured bacterium. RNAcentral describes it as "partial 16S ribosomal RNA". It matches the Rfam family "Bacterial small subunit ribosomal RNA", at positions 28 to 507 of the family's 1533-position model. The record is from RNAcentral.